RNAcentral lists this ribosomal RNA (497 nucleotides) under uncultured bacterium. Its description in RNAcentral is "partial 16S ribosomal RNA". It matches the Rfam family "Bacterial small subunit ribosomal RNA", at positions 28 to 507 of the family's 1533-position model. The record is from RNAcentral.
GAUGAGCGCUGGCGGCGUGCCUAAUACAUGCAAGUAGAACGCUGAAGGAAGGAGCUUGCUCUUUCCGGAUGAGUUGCGAACGGGUGAGUAACGCGUAGGUAACCUGCCUGGUAGCGGGGGAUAACUAUUGGAAACGAUAGCUAAUACCGCAUAACAGUAGAUAUUGCAUGAUAUCUGCUUGAAAGGGGCAAUUGCUCCACUACCAGAUGGACCUGCGUUGUAUUAGCUAGUUGGUGAGGUAACGGCUCACCAAGGCGACGAUACAUAGCCGACCUGAGAGGGUGAUCGGCCACACUGGGACUGAGACACGGCCCAGACUCCCACGGGAGGCAGCAGUAGGGAAUCUUCGGCAAUGGACGGAAGUCUGACCGAGCAACGCCGCGUGAGUGAAGAAGGUUUUCGGAUCGUAAAGCUCUGUUGUAAGAGAAGAACGAGUGUGAGAGUGGAAAGUUCACACUGUGACGGUAUCUUACCAGAAAGGGACGGCUAACUACGUG